AAAACCCAAAAACGAGGGGGGAGGGGAGAAAAAUGGUGGGAAGGCCAUUUUUACCUGAGAAACAAAAUAUAAUUGGUCCAUGUUGUCAAAAUUAAUUUGACAGAAUUCAA
Long non-coding RNA from Hibiscus syriacus, 110 nucleotides. RefSeq lists it as uncharacterized. The record is from RefSeq and is a predicted model, not a curated record. Lineage: Eukaryota; Viridiplantae; Streptophyta; Magnoliopsida; Malvales; Malvaceae. The transcript is spliced from 2 exons.